CCUACGGGCGGCAGCAGUGGGGAAUAUUGGACAAUGGGGGGAACCCUGAUCCAGCCAUGCCGCGUGUGUGAAGAAGGCCCUCGGGUUGUAAAGCACUUUCAGUGAGGAAGAACGCCUGGUGGUUAAUACCCAUCAGGAAAGACAUCACUCACAGAAGAAGCACCGGCUAACUCCGUGCCAGCAGCCGCGGUAAUACGGAGGGUGCGAGCGUUAAUCGGAAUUACUGGGCGUAAAGCGCGCGUAGGUGGCUUGAUAAGCCGGUUGUGAAAGCCCCGGGCUCAACCUGGGAACGGCAUCCGGAACUGUCAAGCUAGAGGGAAGGAGAGGAAGGUAGAAUUCCCGGUGUAGCGGUGAAAUGCGUAGAGAUCGGGAGGAAUACCAGUGGCGAAGGCGGCCUUCUGGACUGACACUGACACUGAGGUGCGAAAGCGUGGGUAGCAAACAGGAUUAGAUACCCGGGUAGUC
Molecule: ribosomal RNA, 465 nt
Filed under: Vreelandella stevensii
Lineage: Bacteria; Pseudomonadati; Pseudomonadota; Gammaproteobacteria; Oceanospirillales; Halomonadaceae
Description: partial 16S ribosomal RNA
Rfam family: Bacterial small subunit ribosomal RNA
Source: RNAcentral